GACGAACGCUGGCGGCGUGCUUAACACAUGCAAGUCGAACGGAAAGGCCCUGCUUUUGUGGGGUGCUCGAGUGGCGAACGGGUGAGUAACACGUGAGUAACCUGCCCUUGACUUUGGGAUAACUUCAGGAAACUGAGGCUAAUACCGGAUAGGAGCUCCUGCUGCAUGGUGGGGGUUGGAAAGUUUCGGCGGUUGGGGAUGGACUCGCGGCUUAUCAGCUUGUUGGUGGGGUAGUGGCUUACCAAGGCUUUGACGGGUAGCCGGCCUGAGAGGGUGACCGGCCACAUUGGGACUGAGAUACGGCCCAGACUCCUACGGGAGGCAGCAGUGGGGAAUAUUGCACAAUGGGCGGAAGCCUGAUGCAGCAACGCCGCGUGCGGGAUGACGCCCUUCGGGUUGUAAACCGCUUUCGCCUGUGACGAAGCGUGAGUGACGGUAAUGGGUAAAGAAGCACCGGCUAACUACGUG
This 468-nucleotide ribosomal RNA is filed under the name uncultured bacterium. Its description in RNAcentral is "partial 16S ribosomal RNA". It matches the Rfam family "Bacterial small subunit ribosomal RNA", at positions 28 to 507 of the family's 1533-position model. The record is from RNAcentral.